Molecule: non-coding RNA, 4620 nt
Organism: Macaca mulatta (Rhesus monkey)
Lineage: Eukaryota; Metazoa; Chordata; Mammalia; Primates; Cercopithecidae
Source: RefSeq, a predicted model, not a curated record
UUGAAGUCAGUGGCUGGAGUAGUUGUGGGCCAGAAACAUCCUCCUCAGCCCAGGAGAAGUGGCAGCUGAUGUAUUUUAAUCACUGGGAGUCAAGAAGUUGUAGGGAUAAGAAAUGAGUGCAGCUGAGGGAUCAGCUGGAGGUCAGGGAUAGAGGAAAAACUGAGGGUGUGUGAGAUUCUGAAGUAGAGUGGUGAACAGGUAUGGGAUGGAUGUCAGGGAGACGUGAGGGUAUCUUGAGGGUUUCCAAACAUCCAGGCCUUCAGAACGGCCACAGCAAAACUUGCAGUUCUGAAUCGUUUUGUGGAAAGAACAUAGAACCUGGAUCUUGGAAGUCAGGAAUUGAAAUUUCAGUUCAAGCAUUCUGUAGCCAUGAGACCUGGGGGAACUGGGGUAAGUUAUUUCACAUCUUUGAUCUUCAAUUCUCUCAUCUUCAGAAGGAGACUAAUGAUACAAGGGUUAAGUGAGAAUUUAAAAAAUAAUCCAUAUGAUGUACUACAUAAAUAGAAUUUUCUUUCUUUCCCUUUCUCCUACUUGGAAAUGGCUGAGAGCAAAGAUGCAGUUCUUGCAUCCCAUGACCACAGAGUUCUAGGACUACAGUCUUGGGCAAGAGGUUCCACCUUGGCUGCUGGAGUUUUCAGCAAUGAAGAACUUCAGUGAGUGUUCAGGGCAUGCCUGGAGGACCCUGGUCCUUCUGUUUGGACCAGCGCUCCAAAUUUGCAGGCCUUUGGGCCAUAAUUUAGAACCUAUUUCUAAAUUUUUGAAGGUCUUCCAUCUAGCCCUGAGGCCUUUAGUCUCAGAGAACUAAAUUGUCUUACCCAGGGUCGAUCACACAGACUGCCAAAGCCUGGCCUGGAAUCCAGGUGCAAUUUUCAUCUGUCUUACCAGUUCCUCUGUAGUAACCUGACAGUGACUCACAAUUCCUUACAGCACAGUGUUUCAAAGUCUGAGCCACAGACCACCUGUACUAGUAGCAGCAGGUGGGCUUGAUAAAAAUGCAGAUUCCUGGCUCCCUGCCAGCCCUGUGCGAUCAGAUUCUGUAAAGUUUCAAAGUAAUGAUUUACAAAUUUCCCAGACCUGGGUUAUACUUUUAUACAGAAACAUAAUGCCUGAAUCUGACAGAGUGCUUUUUCGUGGAGGAAAGUUAGGACUCUUGGGCAGACUUCUUGUUGCUUUCAUACUCUACAGGUGUUCCUGACCCUGGAACAAGAGGAUUUAUCUGACUCAACUGGAGAUGGCUCCCUUCCCUAAUUUAUUGUUGCAUCCUGAAGCUUCCCCCAUGCUGAGCUCAGUGUGAACAAACAGCGCGGGAGGAUGUAACCACUGCAGAGGCAUAUGUUUGAGAUGUCUGGCCACUGGAGGUCGUCUCGUCUACUAUGUUCACCACAGAUAAAGAAUGAAAAGAGAAUACACAACCUUGUGAUUGCUAGCAGUGAAAGCUCAGAGUUGUGACAUAACAGAAUUGGUUUAUGUGACUAUGGAGGCUGAGAUGUCCCAAAAGCUGGAUACCCAGGAGAAGAAAAGGGUACAAAUUGAUCUGACUUGAUUUGUCAGAGAGCCAGAACUGCAGGCAAAUAGACGCCAGAGAAAUCAACCGAUCUUUUAAGCCAGCAGUAAUUGUUCCUCCUGUCGGCUGGCUAAAUGAGUUGUAUCUGGAGGAGAUGCUCAGAAUGAAUCAGAAUGCUCGAGGUGACAGAAACACAGAGCAUUCCAAAGUGGGCUGUAACAGAAGUGGUUGAUCAUACUAUAAAACUUAAAUGUGAAGGGAAGGCUGGAACAUACUGGAAACUGAAGACCUGACAAAAAGAAGGAACUUUUAGGGACAAGCAGAAACUUCAAAAUGUUGAGAACUCUCUUGUAUCAUAAUAGAAGAUAAAAACUCUGAUGGUCGCACUCAUAAAGACAACAAACAAACAAAAACCCAGAAUCACAAAAGCAAAGAAAAUGUAGGUAAAACAAUAACAGAAGAGGUAAAGAAAUUUAUGUGAAUUGGGACACUCUGGGGCACGGAACAGAAGAGGAGAAGAAACAUGAAAGUAAUGCUCUGCACAAGGAUGUCUGAGUGUCCUUGAUUCCAAGGGCAUUUAAAAUUAGCCACUGGAUGAGAACCAUGAAAUGCCAUUACUCUUGCAGCUCCCAUGAAAGACACUGGAUGGAACUUAUCCUGACUGGACCAAACUCUAAAAAAUUUUACAUGAUAUUAUAAUGAGUUGAAAGUUGAACAAAAAAACAACGCUUUUCUAGAUUACCAAGAAUAAAACACAAAUUUCUGGCUGACUGAAUUAAUUCUCAUCUCUCUAUAGAAAGAUCAUAUAAUUUUUUUUUAUCAUGCAAAGAGAUAGCUAAAAACUUAGGAAAAUAUAGAAGUGUGUUAGGCAGCUCAUGAGUAAAUGGGUUUUUUCCUUUUUUCCUCUGGCAUUUUGUGAUGUUUGCGGUACUUUUCGGCUUUUAAAAAUUCGUAUUUAAUCAGGAUUUAUUACUUCAUUGUAAGUAAAUAUUAAAUUUAUACUCAAUCUUUGUUUGUAAUUUUGUAUAUUUUUUGGUAAAAAGAACUCCCCAGAUUAUAUAAGCUUUAGGCCCCACAAAAUCUAGACCUGUUGCUGUAUCCUUCUAGAGCAGUGUUUCUCAAACUUCAAUGUGCAUUUGAAUCUCCUGGGGCUCCUGUUAAAAUAUAGCUUCUGAGAUGAUGCAUUUCUAACAAACUCCCAGGGCUGACACUGCCCAUCUGGGGAUCACACUUUGAGAAUCAAAGCUCUAGAACAAUGGUUCUUACCUGGCUGUGCAUUGGGAUCACUUAUAGUGCUUUUGGAAAAUACAUUGUGUCCAGGUCCCACCCCGUUCUCAGUAGGCUUGGAAUGGGGUCCUACACUUUUUUUUUUAACUCCACAGUUCGGGAAAGAAGAACUUUCGUAUAUUGUUGGUGGGAGUACAAAUUGAUACAGCCAAUUUUCAGCUUGAUUUGGCAAUAUCUUCCUUGGAGAAAUCAAAGGCAGUUGGCAAGGCAAUCUGAAAAAGGCAUUUACUGAUUCCCACCCCAUGGUCACAAAGCAGAUAUAGAAGAAUGGGCUUUGGCUGAAAUAUAUGAUGGGCACAGGUAUAUUCUCUAUAAUCUAGUAGUUCCACUUCUAAAAAUGUAUCCUAGUAGCAUUAUACAUAUCAAGACUAUAUAUAAAGUUGUUCAAUUCCAUAUUACUUAUAGUAGGGGAAGACUGAAAGCAGUCUACAUGCCCAUCAAUGGAUUAUUCAAAUUAUGGAACACUUUUCCAAUGACAUAACAAUAGCUAAUCUUAGUUAAGCAAUUAUUAUGUUAUGUAAGGUAGACAUUGUUCUACCUUAUUUAUAAGUAUUAACUAAAUUAGUUCUUAUAACUAUCAUAUUUCCAUUUUACAAAUGGCCUAAUUUAUAUUAUUGGCAUGGGAAGAUGUCCAAGGAUAUAAUAAGCAAAAAGCAAGUAGCAGAACAUUAUGUAUGAUAUAUUAUGCAUCACCAUUAUAAUACACUAAAAGGUAAUUCACUUGAAUCUGAUGCGCACUCCCCGGUAGGUAACAGCUGAUCUAGUAUAAAAAUGAAAGAACAUUCUGUUACCUCAAACAAGCUGUCUUCAUGCAAUUUAGUUGACUGGUAGCACUUUCAGAAGAAGACAGAGUAAAAAUGGUUGGGUCAAUUUGGUGGUGUAGAGUAUUCUAUCGAUCAGUGGUCAAAAGAGUAGUCAUUCUGAGUGAUCUUUAACAUUAGGGUUGAUGGAAGAAAUGACCCGUAGAUGUCCCUACAUCUCAUUUCUCUUAGGACACACACUUGGGAGAAAUCGUCCAGUGCACUUUGUCCAGGCCUUUCACUUGUACCAACUACUUUGCAUUAUGCUGUUUUCACUUGAGUGGUUGCGCCUUCUAGUCCACAGCAAAGUUUUUUUUUUAAUGUAUAUUUUUUCCCAACACUUUAUUAUGGGAAUUUUCAAACACACAGAAAAGAUAAAAGAAAUUUACAGAGAAUACUCAUGUAUCUAUCAGUUAGAUUCUACAGUUAACAUUUCACUAUACUAGUUUUUUUUGUGUAUCUAUUUAUCUCCCUGUGCAUCCAUUGAUCCACUUCAUCUUUAGGAUGCAUUUCAAAGCAAGUUGCUGACAUCAGUACACUUCUGCCUCAAUACUUUAGUAUGUGCAUCAAUAACCCUAGUUUAAUAUUUGUUUAUUCUUUUUCUUUCCUUUUGAAGUAAAAUUUAUACACAAGGAAAUGCACAUAUCUUAAACUUCCAUCAAGAAAGAACAUUACCAUACCUGAGAGUAUCCUCAUGCUCCUCCGCUGGGGUGCUCCCUGCCUCUCCACACCAAUCCCCCCAGGUAACAACUGUUCUGAUAUCCCCCUUACCAUACAUACCUGCUCUAGAACAUCAUAUAAAUGGAAUGAUACAAUAUGUCUUUUGUAUAAGCUUUAUUCCACUCAGCAUAAUGUUUUUGCCAUUCACCCACAUUAUUGAUCAUAUUAGUACCUUGCUCCUUCUUAUUAUUGAGUAGUAUUAGAUUGUAUAAAUAUAGCAGAGUCUAUUUUCCUAUUUUGAUGGAUAUGUUGGCUUGUUCUGAUUUUUGCUUAUUAUGAAUAAAACUUCUGAGUAUUCUUGUACAAGUA